Molecule: ribosomal RNA, 279 nt
Filed under: uncultured bacterium
Lineage: Bacteria
Description: partial 16S ribosomal RNA
Rfam family: Bacterial small subunit ribosomal RNA
Source: RNAcentral
UGCCAGCCGCCGCGGUAAUACGGAGGGUGCGAGCGUUAAUCGGAAUUACUGGGCGUAAAGGGUGCGUAGGUUGUUUUUUAAGUUAUCUGUGAAAUACCUGGGCUUAACCUGGGAAGGUCAGAUAAGACUGGAGAACUAGAGUAUAGGAGAGGGUAGUGGAAUUUCAGGUGUAGCGGUGGAAUGCGUAGAUAUCUGAAGGAACACCGGUGGCGAAGGCGGCUACCUGGCCUAAUACUGACACUGAGGCACGAAAGCGUGGGUAGCGAACAGGAUUAGAUA